CUUUUAGUAAGUGGGAUUUUCAGGCUGCUGGCAAAUUUCAGGGGUGUUUUCCAGUGAGGGUGCUGUCCACACAAGAGCAGGUUCAAUUUCCAAUGUACCCGGCACCUGCAGAUCUUAAUACAAAACCAAACAAAGAAAGGGAGCAAGGGGGAGAGGAAGAGAGAUAUGUGUUCCUGGAGAUUCUUGGAUCAAUAGAACAUUUUCCUGCUAAUCCCACCACCUGGGCCUCUGAACGACUUGUCGAAAAAGCCAUUAGGAUGUUGUGGAGAAGGGCCCCCAGAUGAGCAGAGCCAGGACUUACUGCAGGAAACAUAUACUCACUUUCUGCCUCAUGCCGCCGCUUGGGGACAAAUUAAAAGACCAGAUUGAUUAAAAACAGUAUAAGAC
Molecule: long non-coding RNA, 387 nt
Organism: Mauremys mutica (yellowpond turtle)
Lineage: Eukaryota; Metazoa; Chordata; Testudines; Geoemydidae
Exons: 3
Source: RefSeq, a predicted model, not a curated record